CAAACUUAAAAAAAGAGAACAAUUUUUAUUUUAUUUCCAUUAAUAUCUUCUCUUCUCUCUCUCUCUCUCUAUUACAAGAAGCAAAAGAUAAACACUUUCCGACAAGCCAGAGAAAAAGAUUGGAACCUUCAUUUCAUGGGUUGUUGUCAAUCCUUGUGUCCGGAUGAACAAAACCCACUUCGGAAAGAUGGAGCUCAGCCGCCACAACCGGCUCAAACCCACCGCGGCGGCGCUACGACGGCUGCUGGACUCGAUAACGGCGGAGAUGGAGGAGUAAUCCCGUCUUUCUCAGAGUUCUCUUUGGCCGACCUAAAAGCAGCCACGAACAACUUCAGCUCAGACAACAUCGUAUCAGAAAGCGGAGAGAAAGCCCCGAAUCUUGUAUACAAAGGCAGACUUCAGAACCGUCGCUGGAUCGCCGUCAAGAAGUUUACUAAGAUGGCUUGGCCUCAUCCUAAACAAUUCGCGGUACCAAAAAGAAAGACCCUUUGUAAGGCUAACGGGCUUUGGUCUUUUUAAUUUAAUUCAAUUCGGGAAAAAAAGAAAAAUACAAAAAGUCUAGUCAAUGAGAGAAGAACAAACCAUGACGACGUGAGCAUCACACCUGAAGCCUGAAGAUCUGUUUUGGUAACAACAUCCAUUCAGUUACGUCUUUAGUUUGAACACCCAAACUAACUACACACUAGACUUUUUAAAAAGAAUAAUUUAUAUUUUUUGUCAAAAAAAAAAAGAAUAAUUUAUUUUCCCCUAAACCAUAAUAAAUAUUAAAUCUUGACUUUCCAUACACCUAAUUCAUUUAUUAGAAAAAGAAGUCGUGUACAUUCCUCGUUUAUUUUCUGACGUUACCCGUUACCAUCAUGUAAUAAUGAGUGUCCAAAUCAAAUACUGUCGUUACGUAAUUAGAGACUAAAGGUAACGGUAUUCUGGAGAAUAUAACAAAAUGGUCAAAACGGGUCAAAGUUACCAUCAAACACAAAGCCAAAGUUAGAGUAGUACUAUACUUAAAAGACCAGAACUAACCGUAUCUUUGUUUUAAGAUCCAUGUCUUGUGUCUGAACCUCUCAAAGUACUAUCCGAGAUAAGGUUUUCACUUUUUUUUUUCUUCCGGAUUUGGGUAAAUUAAUUUGGUGAGAUUAAUAGUAAUUAAUUAGAUGAUAAAGAAGAAAACACCGACUGAUCCUGUGGAGAGAAACAGACGAAAAUCUCGGUGCUGGCAAAGAUUCCUUCACAGUCCUUUUGCUGUUUGUUUUCCCUUCUUCUUCUUCUUCAUUUUUGAACUAAAUCAUUCAUUUUGAUCUCUCUUUCUCUCCUAAAUUUGAAAUAAUACUCUCUCGAGAAAACAACCACUUCACUCUUUCUUUCUAUCACUAUCAACACACACCUUCUUUGCACCUUACUCGCCUCCCCUUCUUCCUCUCACCUACCUUUCAUCUCUCUCUAUCUCUCCCUAUUAUUUUCUCAAAUCUUGUCUUUCUUUUUAAUUUAAUUUUUUGUUGGUAAAUUAACUAGUGAUGGGUUGUACAAGUUCUAAGCUGGACGAUCUUCCGGCGGUUGCUCUCUGCCGUGAACGGUGCAAUUUCCUAGAAGCGGCGAUUCAGCAACGUUACCAUUUAGCCGAAUCACACGUGGCGUACACACACUCGCUUAAAGGAAUAGGUCACUCACUCCAUCUCUUCAUCAACCACCACCACCGUUUCGUCGCUUCUCCCAGACUCAACCUUCCUCCUCAAAGAAAAGGCGACCCCGAAGAACAAGAAAACAAAGGAGUAGAAAAUUCCCCUAAGAAAGCAAAGCUACCUUCUCCUCACCAUCCGGGUUCGGGUACUGAUUCGGGUCAUCUCGAGUUCGAUUCGGACUCCGAAGACGAUGAUGAAGAAUUCCAUUUGGAUUCGGACCACCACCACCAUCUCGGAAAUUUUGAAACCGGGCCUUACAUGGGAGCACAACCGGGUUAUACCCGGUACCCGAACCCGGAAAUGAUGGGUCAUCAUCUUCCUCCUACUCCUUAUAUGCACAUGAACUACAUGAAGAACAGUUCGAUGCCUCCUUCAGUCAUCUACGAGCAAAGACCAAGUAGCCCUCAAAAAGUCUACAUAGGCGAAUCAUCAUCUUCUUCUACUUACCCUUACAAUUCCGGACCCGGACCCGGACCCGGAUACUACGGUUCUUCAACUGAUGCUCCAGCCUCUAAACCGCCUCCGCCUCCGCCUCCUCCGUCCCCGCCUAGGUCCAACGGGUGGGAUUUUUUAAACCCGUUUGAUACUUACUAUCCUUCGUAUACUCCGAGUCGAGACUCGAGGGAGCUUAGAGAGGAAGAAGGUAUACCCGAGCUGGAGGAAGACGACGAUUCACAGUACGAGGCUGUUAAGGAAGUUCACGGUGGUGAUAAUCAACCGACUCCUGCUGUUGUUUACAGGGAAGAGUCUGAUUCUCCGUCUCCGUCUCCGCGGCUGUCUGUUGAUAAAUCUGGAGCCAGCACUAGUGGUGGAGGUGCGGCUAUGUAUCAGACUAGGCCGAGCGUGUCGGUGGAGAAGAAAGGGGUUGAGUACGAAGUGCACGUUGUCGAGAAGACGGUUGUUGAAGAUGGCGGAAACGAGAGCAAUGCCACGGCGACACGUGGAGGAGGAGGAGGAGGUGGGCCACGUGCGGUGCCUGAGGUUGCUAAAGAGAUUGAGAAUCAGUUCCUGAAAGCUGCGGAGUCAGGAAGUGAGAUCGCUAAGUUACUUGAAGUUGGGAAGCGUCCUUACGGUCGGAAACAUGGUAAUAAAACUUUUCAGUUUUGUCCGAAUGAUCUUGUGAUCUUUCAAUAAUUAAGUAAAAAAUGAAACUUUUUGUUUGGACCAGCUUCUUCGCAGUUGUUGCACGGGGUUACUCCUUCUGUUGCUGAGCCGCCAACGUAUGCAGACAUUGAAGAAGAGCUUGCUUCGAGGUCAAGGAACCUUUCUUCCACAUUGCACAAACUCCAUCUCUGGGAGAAGAAGCUUUACCGAGAAGUGAAGGUAACGUUAAUCUCUUAUAACACUCCGAUGUGUUUCAGCUCCUUUGUCUGAAUAAAGCUUCUACUCUUGUCUAGGCUGAGGAAAAAUUGCGUGUAGCUCACGAGAAGAAGGUAAGGAAGCUAAAGCGUUUGGAUGAAAGAGGUGCUGAAGCUAACAAAGUGGAUACAACAAGGAAGCUAGUAAGAGACAUGAACACAAAGAUACGGAUUGCGAUUCAGGUUGUGGAUAAAAUCUCUGUGACUAUUAAUAAGAUUAGAGAUGAAGAUCUAUGGCCGCAACUCAAUGCAUUGAUCCAAGGGUAAUAAUAACCUUGCCCCUACAUGUUUUUAGAUAUUUGCGUUUGGAGAUGUUGAUUCUGUGUUUGGUUUGCUUCUCAGGCUUACAAGGAUGUGGAAAGAGAUGCUAGAGUGUCAUCAGAUUCAGUGCCAGGCUAUAAAGGAAGCUAGAGGGCUAGGGUCUAUAAGAGCUAGCAAGAAGCUAGGCGAUGAGCAUCUUGAAGCAACUAGUUUGCUUGGUCAUGAGCUUAUAAACUGGAUAUUAGGAUUCUCUAGCUGGGUUAGUGCGCAGAAAUGUUAUGUAAGGGAGUUGAAUAAAUGGCUCAUGAAGUGUCUUCUCUAUGAACCUGAGGAAACAGCCGAUGGUAUCGCUCCUUUUUCGCCUGGUCGGCUUGGUGCUCCACCGAUCUUUGUGAUCUGUAACCAAUGGUCUCAAGCUUUGGACAGGAUCUCCGAGAAGGAAGUGAUUGAGGCAAUGCGUAGCUUCACCACGAGUGUGCUUCAGCUUUGGGAACAAGAUCGGUUAGAAACGACGGUGAUGGGGCAGGAGAAAGUUAGGAGCAUGGACCGGGAAGAGCAGAGGAUACACAGGGAGAUUCAAGCGCUGGAAAAGAAAAUGGUUCUGGUUGCACCUGGUGAUGGUCUUUUGGUAUCUGGGAACGUUGUUUACCAGAGUGAUACUAGUAGCGAUAGUUUACAAGGUAGUUUGCAGAGGAUUUUUGAAGCUAUGGAGAGGUUCACUGAUGAGUGUAUGAGAGCUUAUGAUGAUCUCUUGGUGCGUGCUGAAGAAGUAACUGCUCCGAGAGAAAGUGAGGAAUGAUAAACAAAACUAGAGGAAGAUCUUUGCUUGAUCUUGCAAUGGUGGAACCAACCAGAAUCAUCUGCGUCUCAUUCUGAGCCUCAUGCAUGAAGAGCCCCACAAGUGGAUGAUGAUCUAAGAGGAGGCAUAAUCCUUGUAAAAAGACGGCCAGUUCUAUGGUUAAGAGAUACGGUUUAGUGCAAAUUGACUUUGAACCGGAUGGUUAACAUAAACCAUAUAUGAGGCAGGUAGCAUAUAUUAGUUAAGUUCUAAUAAUUUUUAUAUUCAGGCAAUGUACAUUAGGCGUUUAGGACUAAACUUUUGACGAUUCUCAGCAAUUAUUUUUGUAGAAUCCGAGGGUAGCUCAGGGAAGUCUCUCUUUCUUUUGAAGUACUAAAGAUGUGACCUUUUGGUUGCAGAAACUAGAUUACCCUAAGCAGCAUUGAGCUUCUCACUAAUCCAGGUUAUUAGUACUAGUAUUUAACAUGUGACCUUUUGUUUUGUCGCAUUAUUCUCCCUGUAUAUGUAUUUUGCUCACAUGAUAAAUUUUGUAUAAAAAAAAGAAGAAAGUUAUCAUGAAGUGGGAAAAAUGGGUGAAUGAUUUACGUUUUCUCGUUGUAAGAAAUUUUUUGUUUGAUAAUAUGCAAAUUAUGCAUGCCUGUAAAAGUUACUAGGCAUAAGAAUAAAGACAUAAUCAUUUUAUGAGAAGUUACAAACUAUUUCCAAUCAUUUACCUGACCAGCUUUAAACAUUAAUGAUUCAUGUGAGUAAACUAUACUCCCUCCGUUUCAUAAUACUUGAUCUUUUGUAAUAAUGCACAAAGAUUAAGAAAAUUACAUUUCUCUAGAAAAAUAUUUUAAAGAUAUAAUUUUAAAUUCAGUUAACCAAUUAUAAAAAAAACUGUAAAAUCUAAUUGGUUGAACAGUUUCCAAUAAAGUUAAAGUUAACCAUAAAAUCUCAAAACUUCCUUAAAAUCUCAAAACUUCAUGUAAAUUGAAACAAAACAAACCUUCUAAAACAUCAUCUAUAUUGAAACGGAGGGAGUAUAAUAAACCCACCCAAUGGUCCAUUCUUUUUUUCAGUUAGUCCCUGCGCCAAUAGUUAACGACUUUGUGUUGCUGUGCCAAACAUGAUUAGCGUGAACUUGACGUCUCGUGUGUCAAUCUAUAUGUCCUGUUUGUUUGUUGCAAAAGUAAUAAAUUGAAAAAAUUAUGUACCAUGAAGAGAAUAAGAGUGCCAUUAGUUAUUGUUGUGACCCAACCAGAACCAUGUAUUUAUUACAAAUUAGAGAUAGUGCUUGAGCAUCUAAUCAUAUAAGAAAUGCAAUUACAUAGGAGAAUCUUUGGAUAACUUCACUCUCUUCCUUUUCUACACAAAAGAGACAGCUCUUGUGUCCUCGAAAGCCUGAUUCUCUGUUUCAUUCUCCAAAGCUAAUAAUAGGAAACAAACAUUGCAAGAACUUUUCAUUGGCAUACAUCCACGUUGAGAAUAUACAAACUACUUUUCUCGCCGUUGAUCCAUUUUCUUGACCAUGAAUUUUAGUCUAGCGGUCUAUAUCAUAAAGCACUGUAUAACCAUAUCUAACUCAAAUGUGGUAAUCUGCAAUAUGCGUUUUAACUGUAAACAAAUCACAAUUUAAAUAAAAUUUUAACACUUAGCCAUAUUAGUUUAUGUGGCUUCCAAAAAUAGAUGGUAACACAUUCAGAGUGAAGAACUUUUUUUUGGUUUCAGAGUUUCAAAAGUUAACUUCUUAAAAUGUAAAUAUGUCACAGUCUGUUCAAACCCUUUAAAGAAAAUUGAUUUUCACAUUACUCUAAUUAGAAGGCACGUCAAUAAUCCAGAAAUGUCACACGGUUUCAUAGGUCAGCUACAUAAAAAAAGAAUCUUAAAUGAAAAAUGAAUAAAAAGCGAGAAAGAAAGUAGGAAUGGUUGAUGAUAAGGCACUCCAAUCACAAAACACAUUGAGCUGGCGAUAAUGAUAUUUUCCCAAAAAUCUUACAGUAUUUGGUACCACAAAGUGUUUAUCAUUAUCAAUAACAUAGGAAUCAAUUUAUAUUGUAAUAUAGUAUAGUAUAUACAGAAAAGAAGUUGACUUGUGCUGUUUUUUUUUUUUUGCCUUUUCAAUUUUCAAAUCCAUUGGUUAAACAUUUAGAAACUCAUAAAUCCUACUAAAACAUAAAGAGAUGCAUACUUCAGAGUUGACCUUAUAAAAUCUUUGUUUUAUAGACCUUAUAAAUUCUAAAAUCUUAUUUUUACCGCUGAUAUAUUAAAUUUAUAAUUAUAAAGUUUUCCCAACUUUUUAUUUUAUUUUGUAGUGGUACCAUAUUGACAAGUAGGAGACAAUGUCUCAGAAACUUACCACAGGAGUCAAAAAGACAAACUUAAAAAAAGAGAACAAUUUUUAUUUUAUUUCCAUUAAUAUCUUCUCUUCUCUCUCUCUCUCUCUAUUACAAGAAGCAAAAGAUAAACACUUUCCGACAAGCCAGAGAAAAAGAUUGGAACCUUCAUUUCAUGGGUUGUUGUCAAUCCUUGUGUCCGGAUGAACAAAACCCACUUCGGAAAGAUGGAGCUCAGCCGCCACAACCGGCUCAAACCCACCGCGGCGGCGCUACGACGGCUGCUGGACUCGAUAACGGCGGAGAUGGAGGAGUAAUCCCGUCUUUCUCAGAGUUCUCUUUGGCCGACCUAAAAGCAGCCACGAACAACUUCAGCUCAGACAACAUCGUAUCAGAAAGCGGAGAGAAAGCCCCGAAUCUUGUAUACAAAGGCAGACUUCAGAACCGUCGCUGGAUCGCCGUCAAGAAGUUUACUAAGAUGGCUUGGCCUCAUCCU
RNAcentral lists this long non-coding RNA (6905 nucleotides) under Brassica napus (rape). RNAcentral's name for it is "long non-coding RNA (BNAP_LNC026061)". Lineage: Eukaryota; Viridiplantae; Streptophyta; Magnoliopsida; Brassicales; Brassicaceae. The record is from RNAcentral.